AUUGAACGCUGGCGGCAGGCCUAACACAUGCAAGUCGAGCGGAUGAAGGGAGCUUGCUCCUGGAUUCAGCGGCGGACGGGUGAGUAAUGCCUAGGAAUCUGCCUGGUAGUGGGGGAUAACGUCCGGAAACGGGCGCUAAUACCGCAUACGUCCUGAGGGAGAAAGUGGGGGAUCUUCGGACCUCACGCUAUCAGAUGAGCCUAGGUCGGAUUAGCUAGUUGGUGGGGUAAAGGCCUACCAAGGCGACGAUCCGUAACUGGUCUGAGAGGAUGAUCAGUCACACUGGAACUGAGACACGGUCCAGACUCCUACGGGAGGCAGCAGUGGGGAAUAUUGGACAAUGGGCGAAAGCCUGAUCCAGCCAUGCCGCGUGUGUGAAGAAGGUCUUCGGAUUGUAAAGCACUUUAAGUUGAGAGGAAGGGCAGUAAGUUAAUACCUUGCUGUUUUGACGUUACCAACAGAAUAAGCACCGGCUAACUUCGUG
This 484-nucleotide ribosomal RNA is filed under the name uncultured bacterium. RNAcentral describes it as "partial 16S ribosomal RNA". It matches the Rfam family "Bacterial small subunit ribosomal RNA", at positions 30 to 507 of the family's 1533-position model. The record is from RNAcentral.